CAAGCAGGAUGUCUUUCAAGGAAUUUCAGAAUGAACUCUAUGCUCUUGGUAGCAAGCUAUGGCUCAAGCUCACGGAACUACCCAAGGCUGAACCUUUGGAGAUUGUGUUCUUCUUCAUCAUCAUCUUAUUCAUUGGUAAGUAUGGAUCAUGCUUGCAACUUUCUGGGCUCAUCAGAUGGGUCUAUUUUGUCAUUCAGGAGCUAUGAAUAAUGUAUUCUUCUUUUGAGCUUUUCUUGGUUUCUGAUUCCGAAGCAAUUGUGAUGUUCAGGACAGGCUUUAAGUAAACGUUUGUAAGAAUUCAGUGCAGAUCUAUGCUGCUAAGUUUCACCAUGCAAUAUAAAUGCUGUUUAUGUAUAUGAAUAUUUGUGUGGCAAAUUCAGGACUGGCAGCCAUCCCCUAGGUUCUAUAGCACUUAAAGUUUCAAUCUGAACUUUAUCAUCUGAAUGGCAUGGGAGCCAACAUUUACAGAAAAAGUUAACUCUGGGUCAAAUGGUAGUGUUGCUUUGGGCUCCCGUACUACAAGAUUACGCAGGAGGUAGCUACAAUUUAGAGCUAGCAGCGGAAUCUCCCAGCAUAAAGAGAACGAGGGCCAAUUCACACGUAACUUCUCAUCACUUGCAUUCUCAGAUGAAAGUGUGCACAUCCAUUGCAAAGCAGUAUAUCCAAAGCAGUAUGAAAGCUCCGUCUGUGAUAGAUGUUCAAAUAUGAAACAGUCAUCAAGUGAUUAACAUACAUGUGUCCAAAGAUACACCAGGUGGCAUGGAGCAGUUCCUGAAACAAGUGACAGGUCACGGUACUUUCAAUGAUGAUCAUAGCUUGCAGUGUUUGCUGUGCCGGCUGCUGUAAUGAAGCACCUGUUCACAAGGCUAGGAGGAUCCAAGUUCGGCCAGCAGACUGUGUAUAAGAAUGCAUUAAGAAAAGGGUGUGGAGGUACUGAGGAAUGUGUGCAGACUGCUGCCAGCUGGCACCACAAUACUCUUCUACAAGAUAGUAGAUGAGAGCACUAAGGAAGAGCAGUGAGAAGGAAACCUCGUCCUGCCCAGGGUUUUAUGCCAUGGUCACUGUGGGGCACAGAUGAAGUGAUGGAGUUCAGUAUUUCUCUCUAUGCCCCUUUGCAGACUGUUUACUAUCAAGACAAAUAUAACUGCAUCACGGCUAGCCAGUGAGAUAAUCCAAAAAAGUGUGCAAAAAUGUGAUAAGCAAGUUAGCAGGGCUAAGACUGUUUAUACGUCUCUAGCUGGAGGAGUUCCAGGAAGACGUUGAAUACAAGCAGUUUCCACUGAACUUUGAGCCACGUGCAAUGGCUCAGCAGAACAAACGACAACAUGAGCAGUGUUUCCUCCUCGCUGUCCAACUGUCUGCAGCCAAGAAUACAAGCACAACAAUACAAACAAUUUUACCAUACUAAAGAACUGCUUUGCAACAUGGAAACAAGAAAGACUUUUUGAAUGAGAAAGAAAACACCCAAAUGUGUAAUAUAUAUUUUGAAAGAGGAAAACAUUCACUUUAAGGUAGGCAAGCAAAACGACAUAGUAUUGUGGGGGCUCGGCAUCCUUUUGUUUUCAUCCUUUCACAGAAGAUGGCUCGUUGUCUGUUUGCUCUCUUUGGCAGUUUCCUUUUGUCCUGAAUGGAUGACUUGAUCAGACAUCACAUGCUCUUGUAUUCUUGGCACAACAAUGAACCAAAAACAAACCCCUGUGUUGCAAUAAAAACCAAUCACAACACACAGGGGUUAGUUUUUGGUUCGUUGUUGUGCCAAGAAUACAAGAUGUCUGAUCAAGGUAAUGCAACAUUCAGUUGGCAUAUGAGUUCAGAGACUGUGAAGAAGAGCAUCAGUAACAACUCCCCCCCCCCAAAUUCCUCACUGCCUCCAUCAAGGAAGGAAAACUGCCAAAGAGAGCAAACAGACAAGGAGCAAUAAUCUGUAAAAGGAUGAAAACAAAAGGAUGCUGAGCCCCCACAACACUAUGUCGUUUUUGCUUGCCUGCCUUAAAGUGAAUAUUUUCCUCUUUCAAAAUAUAUAUUACACAUUUGGGUGUUUUCUUUCAUUCAAAAAGCCUGCCUUGUUUCCAUGUUACAAAGCAGUUCUUUAGUAUGGUGAAAGGGGAACAACAUAUUGUUUAUAUGCUUGGGGUUUAUAGUAAAAUGCAUUCUCUUAAAUAUAUGUGAUAUGAAUAGUUUAUAUUUAUAGUUUAUAAUACAUCUUAUUUAAGGCAGUUGUGCUGGGAGAUCUUACAAAAAGAGGGACAAGGAUAAACCCUCCACUUUUAGAGUAUUACUUUAGAGUUAUUUGUGGAAAGAACAUAAUAAAAAAGGUUAAAUUCUUCUAUCCAUUCAUUAGUCUCUGUAGCUUAAAGUGUGCUUGUACGCAGAGCUAAUAAGAUACAGCGAGGGCUGGUUUAUUUCAGGAAAUGUGUGCAGCAGCUGGGCAAGCUAAAGCACAGCCAAGAAUGAACUGAAAGGAAACCCAUUUCCACAAAGGCAGACCUUGUGGACAUUUGGUUUACACUCUAAUGAACUUCAAAAGAGUUACAUGUGUACAAGGCAAAAGGAAUGGAACCAACCACGUGCAAAAGGGGGAGGAUUAUUGCCACAAUGCAAUGAACUACACAGGUGUCAUUCCUAAAAGAUAUAAAUGUCAUCUAUAGCAAAGCCCCUACAUUUAGGAGAUGCACUUAUUCAAAAGAUCAGAUUAGCCCAAGUCGUCAAGACCAUGACCAUGCACCACCAGAAGCGAACAAAGAAUUAUGUGAAGGAUCUGACAGGUUUCUGCAAGUCUUACAGUGUACUCUUAUUCACAACUACUCAUUAAGUUCAAUAGGAGCUACCCACAGGUAAACAAGUAUGAGAUUACAGCAUAAAUAAUGCAUACCUUCAUUUUUGAAAGGGGAAACAUUUAAUCAUUACAAACCUGCACAGCUGUAUAAAAGUCACAGUGAUUAUUAAGCGAGGGACGGUGAAGCUCACAGCGACAAAUUAAGCAGAAAGUAGUGGCCGUGUAUUAUUUAACCAUUACUGUAUCUAAUGUGUGCAGCCUGAAGUGCAAUGGCUAUAUAGGUUCCAAGAGUAGCAAGGGGGAACUGAAGCAGGUCUCUUGCCAUUAUAUUUCAAAAAGAAGAAGCAAUAGUGAAGUAAGGGCCCACAGCAAAAUGGCAGAGCAUUUGCUUUGCACCUAGAAAGUCCCUGGAUCAAUCUUCAGGUAGGGCUAGGGCUGAUUCCUGCCUGAAACCAUGGAGAGCUGCUGCCAGUCAGUGUAGACAACACUGAACUAGAUGGAUCAAUGGUCCAACUCAGUAGAAGGCAAUUAAUUCCCUAUGUUGCUCCUGCCAAUCUUUUGUGACAGAUCUACCUGCUUCCACACAAUUGCUGGAUCAAGCUCAGUUGUUUCUUUUUUCAACUUAUCAGCUGAUGCAACUGAGAAUUAGACAAUUUGUGUGUUUCUACCCUUUCCCACCAAGAUAAAGGCCACUUGCCAGAUUCUGAUUCCUGGGAAGUCUUGCAUAAAUGUACCUCCCUCGGCUUUUGCAAGACUGAAGAUUCUUGACCAACAUUUUAGACUUCAUUGCAUAUACGUUUCUGCAGUUGAAACCGCAGACGGAACACUAGCUGAAGUCAGAAAGGCAAUACAGUACAGUACUAGCAACUAAAAAGCCAGAAAGCAAGACAAUUUUUAGAUCUGUGAAGUUUACAUUUAGUUUCAGCUAAAUUGUAAACCAUAGGUGUUAAAGAUCUGUUCCUGUCUCUUUGGGUGAUGAAGCUUAAGGGCUUACAUGUUAUGCUAAAAAUGCAAAAGGAAAGGAAAGGCAAAAGACAAUGAAAAGGUUGAUAAAAAAAGGAAAGGAAAGGAAAGAUAGGAAUUAUUUCUUAGCUUUUUUUAAAAUGUGAGAACACAGAACAGUAUAUGUUUCAGCACAGUUUCCCUUGUCUGUUACAUUAGUAAAGAGUGUUAAGACCAGGAAAAACGUUUGUAGAUUCAAAUACAAAUCAAUGUGAGAGUGUGAUUACUCCCAACAUAAAAAAAAUUCCUUCAGUAGCACCUUAAAGACCAACUAAGUUUUUAUUUUGGUAUGAGCUUUCGUGUGCAUGCACACUUCUUCAGAUACUCCCAACAUGCAACUCUAUGGGCCUAUUUGUAUGUCCUUUGCAGGUUCUGCUAAUGUGACUGACAUGGUUACUUCCCAUUCACAACACAGACAAUCUCAUACAUGCCUACUGAUACUAUGUUAUAGGUUCCACAUGCUUGUCUGGAAUAAGUUAAAAUAUAUUGGAUGUUCUGGUUCAACGGCUUAACAGGUGGCAUUUUUAUACUAUAAUAUCUAAGCCAGGACUGCACAACAUUGGACCUACCAAGCUGAAUGAAGUCCACCAGCCCUGUAGGCGCAGCCAGCAAGGUGCUCACCUCCUAACACAUUCUUGCAGUCCCAUGAAGGCUGCAAAACCAGAUUUAACAAGCCCCAGCUAAGGUCACUAGUUUUGCAGCCCUGUUUUAACCAACAAACAACUUGUUCCUAAAGACUAACUGCUUUCCCAUAGAUGCACACAGAAAGUCAUUUUGUUUGUUUUGAUUUUUUAAAUGACAGGCUGCAAUUAAAAGUCAUCGACAUAUUAAUUCCACGUGUGCUCUGUUUCAGGAGGCACUUCCUUGUGGGGAGGGGCCAGGUUGGGAAAGCAGAACCAGCAAUCAUGCCGGCACAAAGUAAGAUUGACUUCAAACACAGCUGCUUCUUUAAAGUAGCAAUCCAAUACAGUGAUAUAAUCAUACUUUGCUUUCUACGAUUCAGCAUUUUUGUGUCCUAAAUCUGUACAGAUUCAUUCAAGUUAUUAGGGUAAAACUUGAUAGAACAUGGGAGAUCAGAAAUAGCAAACAUCAAAAACAAUUCACAUGACUUACAAUUACAAAAAAAUAAAAAUGCAAUCAUGGAAACGGGGUGGGACCUUUGUAACACACAGCAGGUGGGAUUCAACAUAGCACUAAGUGAAGAAUGCAUGCACGAAACAAGUUCCACCUGCGGGACAAGAGUUUCCUGGCUUUCCUCCCUCCACGAGCCCCCUAAAAUGUUCUGGGGGUUCCCGCCAGUUAGGCUCCUGCCCAGCAAAUGUAGUUAAGUAAUGUAUAGUCAAAGACCAGAAAGAAGAAACAGUUUUAGCCUGCAUAUGCUCCCAUGUGCCUUCUCCAACUAAGCAAAUAUUACUGAGCUUUGGAGGUGGAUCAAUCCAUAAUAGUACAACAUGGAUAAAAUGAAGCCUGAUUGUAUAAUUUAGGCUUUCAGAUAAGCCUCACCCUCCCCUGGCUGUGUUAAUAAUUUGCUAAAGUACAAACAGAUAUUAGACAUUACACACUUUCUCUUUGCACAAUUAAGGAGGUCUUCCCAGCCGACAGGUUCUAAAAAGGCAACUACAUACAGCUUCAGGGCCUGGCAACGAUGUCCACUUCAAUACAAACUGCUUCUCAAGGCAUUCUAAAACAUCUGAAAACUCGGAUUCUGUCAGAUGACUGGGCUCUUGGGGGACUGGUAGUAAUAGCUUCAUUCGUCAUGGUUAUCAUUGCACUCCUGUUGUUUGCUGCCAUCUUUGGCUGCUGCUCAACUCCAAGGAAUAAAUCAGGCCCCAUAUAAAACAGCAAGAGCAGCUUUGUCUGCGGAAUUUGAAGAAUGCUGAAGUGGGACCAAGAAGGGGGAAGUAUAGUUGCUUCUUGACACCCCUGUUUCACAUGUACAAGUGAACAUUCUACAGCGGAAAUUUGGCACUGUUCAAAGGCACACGGCCAGAUUCCACACGAGGCCUGACACCAACUGAAAUCAGCAUUAAAGAAGCAUGUGCCUGAGCAGGUCUGAUUCACAACUAACUACUUCUAGCAAAGGAAGUGACAAAAAAAAUGUUUAAGAAAUAGCUGGCAUGUAAGAAUUUGAAAAUUCAAAGAAUGUUCAGUUUUCCUUGAAAUUAUACAUUUGUCUUUCUUCUUUUGCAACCAGUAUAAGCAUAGAUAACCUAAUCAAUAGUUAAACUAAAUGAGACUAAAUGAGCUGUAUUUUUAAAAUGCAUCCACAUGAAUCCCUUCCCCUAAUUCUUAUUUUAUUUCCAUAAUCUUCCAAAGGCAGCUGGCUGAUAGAGCUGAGCCAAAGGGUGGAGGAAUAAUGCCCAUUUCAUUAAAAUCUUCAAUAUAAUUGAUGAUCCUCUUUCUUUUAGAGAUGUUUCAGGCUUUCAGAAGGGUUGAAAAAUCACUUUGCUUGUUAGUAAUUCUUGAAUGGAAAGGAUGACCAGUAUAGAACACAUUGCUCUCUCUAAAUGAGAUUCAUCUGUCACUAGAGAGUUUAGCACCUAGCCCACCCAGGCAUAGGCAAACUUGGCCCUCCAGAUGUUUUGGGACUACAACUCCCAUCAUC
Zootoca vivipara (common lizard) is the source of this 6383-nucleotide non-coding RNA. NCBI's taxonomy places the organism in Eukaryota, Metazoa, Chordata, Lepidosauria, Squamata, Lacertidae. The record is from RefSeq and is a predicted model, not a curated record.